Long non-coding RNA from Eleginops maclovinus (Patagonian blennie), 1973 nucleotides. RefSeq lists it as uncharacterized. The record is from RefSeq and is a predicted model, not a curated record. Lineage: Eukaryota; Metazoa; Chordata; Actinopteri; Perciformes; Eleginopidae. The transcript is spliced from 3 exons.
GGCCAGUAGAGCUAAUCUUCUUAGCAAUCACAAGGUUUGACUGUUGAAAGAGAACAAAGUUCACAUCGUCAACAACAACAGUAGGGGCGAUUCUGCAAACCAGAGAGAGGGACGGGGAGAGAAAGAUAGAGAGACAGAGAGAAUCACAAUUCCUACUUUUACCUCUGGAUUAAACCCACCAUACUUCUCCCCCAAGGAAUUAUUCUGUGGAUUAUCUCGCUUCCUGCAGCGGUGAGACUUGAUGUGACACCCCGAUGCUGUCUGAAUUUAAAAACUUUUAAAUCUUGAAGUUAUGUGACUGCCAUCGCAAACACGUCACCUUUGACCUCCACUUAAUUCCUGGCUACUGAUACAAAUCCACUGCAGUACCAACAGCUGUCAGGACCACGAUGUAUUAGCUCGCUGAUAAUAUCCCGUGGCCAUCUGUAGCUCAUCACUGCCUGCAUCAAAACCUGUCCUACUGGGGAACCUGAAAACUCAGCAGGAUGGAGGUGCUGAGCGGCCCCUGGGCUGAUUUGGCUCUGCUCCUUCGACAGACCGUGGCGCAGACAGACAGAGAGACAGAUAGCUUUUUCCCUCUCUGGCUGUUCGGUCUGCUGCUGUUCCUGUCGGUCUGUCUGCUUCUGCUGCAACUGAUCGUCUACCUCAGCUGGAAACUCAGACAGGUUGAGGCGGAUGUGGAGGUGCAAAACAGAAGCGCCAUCUACCGGGAUAUAAACAGAAGUGCACACCGGAGGAGAAGGAGUGUUGGGUAGAACUGAAUCACCUGACCACACACACAGGGCCGGUUCUAGCCCAUUGGCUGCCCUAGGCGAUUUUGAGAUUUUGCGGGGGGGGGGCGCAAAAUCUCGAAAUAUGGGUUGGGGCAUGUUCAUUUAAUUCAAUGAGGGUUUUAUAUCCCAUGCUUUAAAAAAAAAAAAAAUUCGUUAAUCAAUGCUGUUAAAACAAAGAUGUGUGCUUAAGGGCGCCACUAGGGGGCGCCCCCCGCCAAUUUGGCGCCCUAGGCGGUCACCUUGAUGGCCUGUAGGAAGAACCGGCCCUGCGCGCGCACGCGCGCGCACACACACACACACACGCACACACACAUGACCUAAACCUUCUGAAAUAAUGACUUUUCUGUCCGAUUGCACGGACAUCUCUGCAAAUCAGUGUGAUAAUUAUCAAAUCUAUCAGGAAGAGACUUUAUCGCAGCCAUCAAAGUGCCUUAAGAUGAUGAAUGUUGAAGCGCCUUAAGAAAAAACAUUAACACUGAAAAAGAUUUGUGAUGACAACAGUUUUUUUUAAUCCCUCAUGGUAAUCUGGAAUAUUACCUGCUCUGUCAUCGUUAUGAAGCUAAAGGCAUCAUAUAGCUGCAUUAGUAUAAAUUUCACACUCUGAAAAGAUCAUUAUUUUUGUAUUAUUGUACACUUAUGUUUCAUUAUAAGACUACCUGAGCCGAAGAUACCAGUUUUAUGAGAAUUAACAUACAGGAUUUACAUUUUAUACAACAAAUUGAUUUAUGAAUGAAUAAAAAAUGUGACAAACAGAUUUCAGAGUAUAACAAUCCUUUAUUUAAACAGUGUUACACAGGGGAGGAGUGGCUGUGCGUGGGGGAGACACAAGACAAUAAGCUGCUAGAUAGAAAAACCCUACUGAUGAUCAUUGGUUGGCUAAAGAGAGAACAAUGAAGCAGCUGUGGCUGGUUUUCCAAAGUGGGUUUUUUAAUGCAAAGUUUUUCCUUUUGAGUUUUUAAGUCACUGAAAUACAAAAUGAUGCUGGUUUUAUCAAAACUGUCAAAUCUGUGGUAAAAAGCAUGAGAUAAAACUGUUAAGGUAAUUUCCAUUUAUCUACUUCAGCCUCAUACACAACACAUACUUUGUUUUGACUGGAUCUUAUCAAUAAAAUCUUUCUGUUACCAUGUUUGUACGGAGCAGCCACUGUAACUACUGAUAACUUCAGUUUGUUUUUACUGUUAAUAAAGUUACUUGAGACGA